GGCCGCCUCUCCAGGAAGUGACGUCACGCAAAGAGCUUUUUCUCCCUCCUCCUCAGCCCCCUACCCCCCGGAGGCACUAAUUCGAAUUGUGCGUGCGGCUCGGGCUCUUUGGCAGCUGGGUUGGACCUAGUGUUGUGAUGAGGAAAUUGAGUGUUCACAUUACCAUGUCUUUUCUACAAAUUACACCAAAAUGAACAUUUGUUAUGCUCAUGGAUUUGUGGAUCAGGGAUUCAAAUGGGGAUGACUUAUCUCCACUUCACAAUGUCUGAGGCCUCAGGUGGAGCACUUGAAGGCUGCGUCUGUCAUCACCUGAAGACUCAUCUGCUCACACGUCCAGGCAUUGAUGCUGGUGGAUGGGCUUCAUUCUAACCUAUCGAUUUUUAUCGUCAAUGAAAUGUAAGUGCCAUCCGACACCGUAUUCCACCGGAGCUGAUCAGUUGUCUGACACAUCGAGGGACAUGUGAGAUCAAUGGCUCCAGAGUUAUAGAAGAGAAUCAAACUGACAUAUUGAAAUACAUCCUUGGACAAAAGGACCCGGCUGAAAGUGGUUUCCAGAUAUCUCACCCUGCUGAUUUGGAUGUGAAAUGCAGGAAAACAGUGGUUGUUGGGAGGUGACUGAAGAGAGAAAAGUAAAUAAUUUCUGGUUUGGCCAGAUCUCUGAGGAGAGAUUCUACCUAUUCCCUGUAUACAAUGAACUGAGGAAGACUACUGACAUACGACUUACAAAGGACAUAGCUUGAAACUGGUAUUGGAAACUUCGUCCCUCACCCAUCAAAAGAAAUAAAGCACCUUUCCCCCAGAAAAGUAGAAGUAAAUUGCUGCAGUCCGUUUUCAAUUUCCUGGAGGAUUUAGAAAUACUUGACACCAGAUACUUAAAUCUCAAAAUACUGCACAUCGAGCUCAGCACUGCCUGUAGGAAGGAGGCUCUGAGGCAGCUGUCUAAAGCUUCAGUUACACAAAGUCAAAGGCAGUGGCGAAACAGGUGCUCCUACUCCUGACAGAUUAUCUGAACGUCAGUAGUCAUCGAUAUCUAUGUCACCACCCCUACAUCAUUCCCCUCACUUCAUCUGAUCACACAGGCAUUUUAUCGUGUCACAUCAUCACAAGAAGGGAAAACUAACAUUCGAAAACAACCCUGACAACAUGGCAAAAGUGAAGCAGAAGCAGCACACCUGCGAGCUCACCUGAGGCAGGGCGGACCUCCAUAGGUUACUGGACAAGCCCAAGAGCCCCGGAUGCAGCUGUACCGCCCUCAGGCGGCGGCGACUGGACCUCGCCUGGCGGCCGGCGCGGCGCUCCCUACGAAGGCGCCUGCGCAAAGCCAAGAAGUGGCGGCAGCUGAGGGGCAAGCGCCCCGUGGUGAGGAGGCAGCUGAGGGACGUGUUCCCGCUGCUUAGUUUGGUCGACAACCUGGUGGGCGUCUGUAAGGGACCUUCAGCCUUAUGGGAAUCAUGUCUGAGAUUAUCGGCCACAACCAGGGUGAGUUCUCCAUCAACCCUGGAAGCAAGACGCAUCCGUGCACCCACUCCCGCUUCAUCCUCCUCAAGUAGCAUGAAAGGUACAGACUUUUUUUUUUUUUAAUGUUUUUUACAAAUAUUUUGUUUAAUGAAGCUGAUACCGUGUCCCAUGCCACGCCAAAAAGUGAAAACAAAAUAUAAAAAGUGCAGUGCUCUGUUGUAUACACUUCUGCGUGAAUAACUUUAUUAACUGCUAAUAACACUUAGGACGUUUUUGGGAUCUUCUUACGGGAUUUUUUUUUAAAAUCUUAAAAUGCUUUCUCUUCAGUGAAGCCGUCUUUGGAUUUAGUCGUUACUGUCAGUGUGUGUGUUAUCUCGACUCCAAGUUGAUAUUCCGCCUCUUCUUUUGGUCCAGACCCUCAGAUUUUUUAAAUUUGAGAAUUAGACAACUCAAGGAUUUUCUGUGUCACAUGUUACUAGUGUAUUUUGGGGAGAAACUUAAUUGUAUAAAAUUGAUAUCUAUUAGGAGGAAAAUGAAAAUUAAGGCAACGAUGAGAGGCUGCGUUUCCAAAGAGUAGGCAAACCGAUUGAGUUGGGCCUCAACAUUCUGCAGGUUGUUUUCUCUUUUACCUCCUAUGAACUAGGGGAUGUUUGCUUAUUCUCAGUAGGAGAGGAGACAAAAUUGGUAUAGAGAAGCUCCUACAAGGCAAAGAAGUCAGCAUUGCUUUAAAUGAUUUUUCAGAUCUGAAGAGACAAAAAAUAGAGUUUGGUUCUGCCACAUCACCUGGAUUUGAAGAACAUGAAUAUCCCAGAAAGAAGGGUGGCACAGAGAAGUGAAUCAGAUAUUCCAGUUUUUCCCUCGAGAUGUAACUUUCUAAGCUUCUCAGGACAGGUGGCUAGAAUUCAGACUCCGUCUCCUUCAGCUCCUCUCUUUGUAUCCCAUAGUCUAGCAAGACUGCUAUACUUGCUUAGGUCCUCCUCUCUGCUCGGAGUUUGGUAAAUGUCCGCCUAUAAAAAGUGGGAGAUUUUAGUGUUUUCUUCUUUUUUUUCUUAAGGAUCACAGCCAUGCAUUGUGUGUUUUCUCAGUAUCUGUAAAGACUUGUUCCGUGCUUUUCCAGUGUUCUUGCUUUUAUGGAAAGAAGGCUAGUAUCAAGGCAGGUUCUGUCAUGGUUGAAAGUGGAAUUAAGGUUUUUUUAAGUUUUCAUAUUUAAAAAAAAUUGUUCUUGCAUGAUAGUAAUAGUUCAUCUUUGCCAUGAUUCUCGUUACUUUUUUAGAUUUUAUUUAGAAAUUAUAAACUUGUAUUAUGUAUAGUUUUUGAAAUUUGAGCUCCCAAAGAAACUUGAGAUGACUUAUAAAUCAACGUAAUAUGGAUAGAUGAAUUCAGAUUAAUUUAAGAAUCAAAGGCAGCUUAUCAAUGAAUAUCAACCAAUUUUUGAAAGAAACAUUUCAAAAAGAUCUUUUUUUCUAGCAUCUGGAUCAGUUGUCAUUUUUUUGCCAUGUUUUAGUUUAAAUAUUUAUUUUUAGUGAUUUAAUUUUUUGCUAUAUUUUAAUACAAGUAUGUAGAUAUACAUUUUAUUGUGCUUAACUCAAAACACAAAGCACAUGGGUUACCUUGUCUUUGUACCACACCUUCAACACCUUGCAGCAAGGUACCCAAAGAAUAGGAAUAAUGUUUGUCUGGGAUGGGAAUCAAGAUUUAGAAUUAUUGAAACUAUAUAUUUAAAGUUCUUCAUCUUUUUAAACAAAAGUGGAGGAAUUUUCCAGUUGUAACAGAAUGUAAUGGAAAUAGGGGAAACAAGAAGUGGCAGAUAUAUCAACCUCAGAGCUUUUCCACACUUGUUAUCUUGUUUGCUCCACACCAGUUAUUAGUAGAGGACAUGUUGUGAUGAAUAAAAGGCUUGAGAGAGACACUAGAGAUUGUGUCAAGUUAUGUCAAAUACAUCGUUCUGCAACGGGACUCAAAAGUACAUCUGAUGGGGCACCUGGGUGGCUCAGUCGGUUAAACGUCCGACUUCGGCUCAGGUCGUGAUCUCAUGGUCCGUGAGUUCGAGCCCCGUGUUGGGCUCUGUGCUGACAGUCACAGCCCGGAGCCUGUUUCAAAUUCUGUGUCUCCCUCUCUCUGACCCUCCCCUGUUCAUGCUCUGUUUCUCUCUGUCUCAAAAAUAAAUAAACAUUAAAAAAAUUUUUUUAAAGUACAUCUGAAAAUGACAUAGGUGUCAGUAAGUAUCCCUAGCCAUAUCCAAAUCCAAAAUGAUGUUUUCAUCUACAUUCAGAGCGCAAAUGGUGGGUUACCUGAACAAUUACACCAAUUCUUCAUCCCCAGGGCCAAUAUUCUGUUAAUUCCUGGAGCUGAUAAAUUUGUUGAUGGGCACUGUCAAUUCAGUCAAAUGGAGGUUGUGACUUUAUAAGAAGGAAGAAAUAUGCUGACUAAAUUUAAGGGGUAAUUAUAAAUUAUUAAUUAGUAAUUUUUAAUCUAUUUUCCAAUGAAGCAAAUUUCAGAAAGCAUUAUGUAUAUUAAAGGAGGUGAUUUAUUUCUUAAAAUCUUCUUAAGAGUUUGUUAAAUGGGAUAAAAUAUUCAGAGAUUCAAUAAGAAUUUUAUGAAAAUUGUUGUGAAAUCUGCGACCAUGUUACUUUGCAAAGACAAUAGUGUCUAAUUUAGGUCUCUUUGAUUUAUUGCAAGAAUUGUAAGGUAACAAAGAUGCUUAAAUUAACAGCUCUGCACUUUUUCUGGUUAAAACUGAAAGAAGCAUUAAAAACUUAACUGGCCUUCUAAUUUAAGAUUUAUAAAAAUAGUAUCAGCAAAAAAGUGCAAUGUAUAAUUAUACUUUUCCUAACAUGUUUACUUCUUUUUGUCAUUGUCUUGCUUUUGAAAACAAAUCUGGGCACCAAACACUAAAGUAUUCAACUGUUAUGCUAGCAUUUUUUAAAACAUCAUAACAAAAAUAAUUGUUUUAACAUCUGUUUCUUUUUCAAUAAAAUCUGUUAUCCUAGAUCAUCUGUAAAAUAUCACAGGCUUGGAGAUAAUUCAAAUUCAUUACUGUUCAUUUUGAAUUUAUGUGCUCUUUUGAAUACCUUACUGUUUGAUAGCCAUACUUUUGAAAUCACAUCUUUAUUUGAAUAUUAGGAAAUAAUACAUGCUUUUCCUCUUGAAAUAUUACUUAUCCAUUAAAACACAUGUCAAGUUCUACUUCCUUCUUCAAGUGUCCUGUUUUUUUCUAUCCUACACUGAUAUCUUCUGUUCUGAAUUCCUAUAUCUAUCUUGCUUCCUCUGUUCCCCUUGUGUAGUUUCAUGUACUCUUCACUUUUGUAUGACAGUAAGCCAGUUACACUUUAAGAUCCUUGAGGAUGAGAACCUUACUUUUAUACAUCCCUUCAAUAGUGUCAGAAAUAGAUAGAGCAAGUGUUUCAAAGAUAGUUGAUUAUCUUAGUUGGCUUUGAGUAACAAAACUAUCUCUUGCAACCUUAUCAUAUUGGUAAGAACUUUAUGGUCUUCAAAGUUCAUACCAAGGAAUCAUAUGCAGUAAUCAGAGCCAGUUGGCUAUAUCUCACAGCCAAACCUGUCUGAACAAUUUCUAAGAGAAUAUAUUUGAGAUAGUCAUAGGUUGAUAAGCUAUGGGGUAGUUGCUGCCUGGUAUUAUAACUGAGGCAUCAUGGUCUUCUGGAAGCCAUCAUGGAUCUCUUUAUUUCUAUUCUUGGCUGUUGCACAAUUGUCAAAUACAUAAUUCAAACCUUUAAUCUCAUAUAUUUCUCUGUGUGGGAACUGAGAGGUAAUUUUAGUAUAGCACCUUCUUUGUCAAAGAUGGUUAUAACAACCAAAAAAUGUCAGUGGAGAAAUAUUUAUACAUAGACCAACUUUGCCCAAAAGAAUCAAAAGGAGAUGGGAAUUUAGAGCAAAAAUUUUGAGGGGAAAGAGAUAUAGCACCUUCUUCCUUAGAUAUUUAAAAAAAAUAAUAUGUGGGAAUCUACAAGUUGCCAAUAAUAUUCCUUAGUAACUACCCUUUUUAGCUUUGACUACCCUAACUCUACUAAGAAAAUCAUUUGGCAGAAAUAUUUUUGCCUCCCCAAAUAUUUUGUUAUAUUCAGCUGAAUAUAUUUGGUUUAGUUUUGCAAAUACCAUUUUGAUACAUUUAUAGUGGACACAAACAAUAUUUAAUUUUGGAAUUCGACAUUCAAAGAUUCCCUCUGUGGGUUUUGAUACAUUUAUAGUGGACACAAACAAUAUUUAAUUUUGGAAUUCGACAUUCAAAGAUUCCCUCUGUGGGUUUUGUUUAGUUACUAGUUCCUUUUGAAAAUGAGUAGCAAAGUCACAUUAAUGAGUCAAUUCAGUAAUGGAGUAUAAAGUUUUCUUCAUUCUAGAAUGGUUGUCCUUUUCUCAGGAUUACCUUCUCCAGCUCAGUAGUAAGUAGAGAGCCUUUUCUUUGCUCCUUGCCAAGUAUUUUCAACUGGGAUAGCUUGCCCUGUUUCAUUGUUGUAAAACCUUGAAAUUAUUUGUCUUAUGGAAUUCUAUCAUUUUCCCUGAUAGCACAGUUCCUGCACUUGACAGAUAACCCAUUGACUUGAGGAACAUUUUGUUUUUCUAGAGAAUCUGAACUCAUAAAACAAUCAGAAAAAUUCAUUUAAAUGAAAUUCUACGGCAGUAUAACCUCUUUCAUUCUGUGCAAACACAUAAUGGAGUUUGGUUUCUAUGGUUACUUGUUGUUAGUCCUAUGCUCUUUGGUUCUGUGCAGAGCUGGACGGGAAAUCAACAAGGCUAGGGUUUCAUUAUAAUGAGGCAGAAACUGAGAUAGUUUCUUUAGUUGAUGGCCAUGCAGCAGUUUAGAAGAUACACAAUUUUAAGGUUACAAUUAUAAAAAAAAAAGUACCUUGGGGCUUUUCCUCAACACUAACUGCUUGUUUGGUAAUGUCAUAGGAACAAGAAUGAGAAGACUCAAAAGUGUAACUAUAUUGAUUAUCUGUUUAUCUGUUUAUAUAGAAUGUAUGGCUAAAAGAAUGUACUCAUUCAUAUAGUUGAGAUUUUCAAAAAGCAAGGAGUAGUUCAAGUACAGUAUCAGAGCUUAUGUGUGUCUGUGCAUGUGUGUGUGUUUUAAAAGAAAAUUCAGUUUACCAAUGUGUAUUUUGACAUAAGGUAUUUCCAACAAAUAAAAAAAUUGAAUGUCUUUGGAGAAAAGGUAUUCUCAGGAUUCUAUACUCAAGGAUAGCUCUGAUUCAUUUUAUUCAUGGAAGUUACUUAAUUUUUCUUAUGAAGCUGUAAUAUAAUACAGAUUUGGAAUGGUGUUCCAAAAAACAAGCUAUACCUUGAAAAUUAUGUUGUAGUUGUGUGUAAAAUUAAAAUAGUUUUAUAUACCUUUGGUUUAAUUUGGCAUCUGGAUAGUAGCCCUGAUGUAGCUAUUACCUUCAGAUUACCUCCAAAUAUGUCAAGGUUCUUAUACAGAAAAAGAGGCGAGAAAACUGAUGGCAGAAGUCUUUGAAGAUACACCAUUGGAUCCCCAUUUCCAAAAUACAGCCAUACUGGAGGAUUACAGCUUCAACUUAUGAAUUUUGGGAACAGGAGCGGAAACAUUAAGUCCGUAAUCAUCUAGUAGGAUGGAAUUUCCAUGUCUAACCAGUAUUAUCAUGCAACUGACUUCUAAACACAAGAAUACUAUGGGUCCCUUCAGUGGCAGAGCUGAAAUCUAGUGUCAGCACCAGAGUGACACAGAUGUGAAAAAAUAUAGUUUUUAAAGCUUUUUGGAAGGUGUGAUUCAUUUGUCGGGAACUAUCAACUGUGGGAAAGAUGUUCAAACUAUUUUAGGCAGUCACAGAAGACAGAAAGUCUUUAAAAGUGCAUAUGGAAGAACUAUGAAAAUAAAUGUGUUGUGUAAAAAUCCUAUUAAUUUCAGGGUCCUUUUGUGAAAUAAAUGAGUCAUCAGGAAAUUAACAAAGUUGACAAAGUCAUUAUGGAAACCUGAGAAAGCUGAAGUAAAUGAGAAUGUUGCUUUAUCACCUUAAGGGAGUAGAUUUGGAUUAUAUUAUAAGAUACUUUUUUUCAAAUCCUCAAGAAACAGUUAAUUUUCAGCCUGUUUAAAUGUUUCUAGAACCUAGAGAAAGGGAAAAAGCUACCCUAUAAUGCUGAUAACAGAGCCUAACAAAGAGAAUAUAGAAAAAUCAAUCUCAAUUAUGAAUAUAGAUAUAAAAAUAGCAAGUAAAUUAUCAGUAAAUGAUAUCCAACUGUAUUUAAUCCAUCAUGACCAGUGGGGUUCAUUUUAUGAAAGCAAGAAUGGAUCAGUACUAGGAAAUCUAUUGAUCAUAUUCUUCAUAUUACCAGAUCUAAAUGGGAAUAUAUUUAACUGUCCUCAUGUAAAAUUUGAUUGAGUAUAAUUAUCAUUUCUGGCUCAAAAUAAAAUACUAGAAUUUUUGCCUUGACUCAAUAAAACUAUAUAUAUAUAUAUAUAUAUAUAUAUAUAUAUAUAUAUAUAUAUAGGACUCUAAACCUGCACCAUGCUUCAUGUGUAAUGUUAAUCUGUUUAAUUGGAUAGUUCAUUUAGCACAAAUUAAUAGGUAUAAAUGUUUUUAAACAGAGGUAAUCGUUUUAUUACUUACAGACCAAUUAUCUACGUAUCUUUGGGCAACAAAACCAUCAAGAAAACUGAAAGAAGACAUGUAGUAUAUACGAUGAUGAGCGUGUCUUUGAGGUCUGACAUUUAGCUGGGCUAUUUGCCACCCUCGACAGUUGUUUAACGUUGGAUAAUAGAUCAACUUGACUAAAUCUCAUUUUGUGUAGGUUCAAAUGGACAUGCCAUUUGCACCAGUUCUUUAUUUUGAAAGGGUAAAAUGAGAUUACACACUCAAACACCACACAUAGGGUUGGCACAAUGUGAGUGCGGAAGCUGUUUAUUGUUAUUGUUGUUUUAGGAUACAUAGAAUAACAAAUGUGAAGUAGAUCUAAAAGAAUCAGUAAAUUCAUUUUAUGCUAGUAAUAUCCAGUCUUAAUUAAAAAAAAACCCAAACCAUUGAAUUCAGCAUCCUUUUUUUUAUUUAUGAAAACAUGAAAAUAUAGUUGUCAUUAUAUUAUCAGAAAAGUAAUCCCACAAAUUCUGUCUUAACACAUGUAGGAAAACAAACUAAGAUAACAGAAUAAUAACAAAAAGACACCUUGACUGACUUGAAAGACCUAAUUGACUAAAAAUAUGACUUGUUAUCAUUUUUUUUUUUGCCCACAAACUUUUAAUUAGUGUCUAACAAUUUGUGGAGAAUUGGGAUGACUAAUUGAUUUUGGUUGUGCUAAAUACGUUUGUACCAGCAUCAUCAUUAACAAUUGUUGAAGAAUUAAAGUAUCACAACUCUGGGACCUCCUAGUUCAGUGCAUUGAUGCUGUAAGGCUAGGAGAAUGUGAAUACCUCCUGAAAUAUGAAUCAAUUUCCAGUUGUGAUUGCAUUCAAAUAAGCAAUGUAUAAGCAUAUUAGAAGGAAGUCCAAUACAAAUCUUCAUACUAUUCACUGUUUCAUUUUCCUUUAAUUUUAUAUAUGCUACUUCACAGAUAGGCUUUUAGUAUUUGAAAUUGAUUUUAUUCUUCCUGAUUCAAUAGUCUGAAUGAACAAAAAUGACCUUUAAUUCAUUCAUCCACUUGUUUAUUCAUUCUCAUAACAAAUAUGUACUGAGUACCUACUCAAUGUCAGGCAUUCUACUAGAUGAUUGGAAUACAUUAGUGAACAAAACUUACUUUCUGACUUUCUGUGGCCUAUAUUCUAGUGGUAAUUUCCUUAUAUUGCAGGUAUAUGAUUCCUGGGAAUUAUGUAGAUUAGAAAAAUAAAUUUUGGUAUAUGUGAAAAUUUCUCAUCAGAAGAAAUCAAUAUUACUUUGCCAGUAGUGGUCCUGUUUAGAUAUUUUAAAUGUCUUCCCGUACUUCUUAUUACAUAGAACUAUCCCUGUGCAACAGAAAAUAAUUUAAAAACAAUGCAUGACCUGUGUCAGAUUUAGCUUAGCAAAUUCAACCAUCAAUCUGUAUUUCCAAGACCAGUUUUCUUAUACUAAUUAUAGUAUCUAUACAUUCUUUUUUAACAAUAUCCUUUGUCUCUCAAUGAGCUGUAAAUGUUCUCUCUGUGUAACAAAUUGAAUAUUCAGUUCAAUUUAACAAAUAUUUUAAAUGAAUGUUACUGUGUUACAUCUUAUUUAAUGAAGAGAUUUAUUUAAAAACUCUUUUUUCAAGGACUUUACAGUUGACUGGGUGAGAUUGUCCAAAAAUAAUGAAAUUUAACAUAAACGAGGGAAGAAAACAAAAAAACAAAACAAAACAAAUAAGGGCAUCAUCAUUAAGCUCAGCCUUGAAAAACAUGGACAAAUGUUUACAGACAAAGAAUGAAGGAAGAAAGGAAAGUCCAGUUUGAAAGAACAGGAUAAAGUCAUACAGAUAAAAGAAUGAAAAUAUAUUUGAACAUUGAAAGAUGUUGAGAAAUUCAAAGUGGCUGGAAAAUAGAGUACAUGAAAGCAGUGGCAAGAGAUGAGUCUGGAGAUAUGUAAUUGUGAAGAGGCUUAAACACUAGGAUAAGGAGUUUAAACUUUACCCUAUAAGUAGUAGA
This is a long non-coding RNA of Felis catus (domestic cat), 10012 nucleotides long. RefSeq lists it as uncharacterized. The record is from RefSeq and is a predicted model, not a curated record. The transcript has 10 exons. NCBI's taxonomy places the organism in Eukaryota, Metazoa, Chordata, Mammalia, Carnivora, Felidae.